UCUUGCUAAGACUUCCAGUACUAUGUUGAAUAGGAGUGGUGAGAGGGAACAUCCUGUUCUUAAGGGGAAUGCUUCCAGCAUUUCCUCAUUCAGGAUGACAUUGGCUGUGGGUUUUCCAUAAAUGGCUUUUACUAUUUUGAGGUUCUGGUAUGAAGAUGGCUUCAUAGCAUCAUCCCUCCUCCUGAUGGCUGGAUUCCCUCCUCCAUUUUUUUUUUUUUUGGAAUAGUUUAAGUAGAAUUGAUACCAGCUUUUCUGUUAAAAUUUGGUUGUGAAUCCAUCUGGUCCAGGUUAGUUGCAAGGGUCUGCUGCUUCACUCCUGAAGUCAGCUAGACCAUGAACCCACCAGGAGGAACAAACUCUGGACACACCAUCUUUAAGAACUGUAACACUCACUGGGAGGAGCCACAGCUUCAUUCUUGAAGUCAGCAAGACCAAGAACCUACCGGAAGUAACCAAUUCCAGAUACAAUGUCAUACUACAUUUCAACAAACAUUGUGCUACAAUACAAUGCAUUUAAAAUAUUUGGACUUUUUCAAACUUUCAACUUUUAGAAGACUAACAUUUUCUUUAAAAUAUAUGUUGCUUUUCUCUGUUAUUUAUGGGUUAUUUAGCCAACAAUUUGUGAUUGAAGCUGUGUGUCCAAGCAAUUGGAGCUUCUGAAUUUAAUAAAAACAAAUCUUCACCAUUUGGUU
Molecule: long non-coding RNA, 692 nt
Filed under: Homo sapiens (human)
Lineage: Eukaryota; Metazoa; Chordata; Mammalia; Primates; Hominidae
Description: HSALNT0336640
Source: RNAcentral